AAGAGUGANCUAGNUAACUGAAAUCGUUUUUUUCGUGUAUGCGGUGAAAUGCGAUAAUGUAAAGGACAAAAUAUGAUAUUACUNNACUAUAAGUGUUGNCCAAAUCUGGUGCCAGAAGACUCGGUAACGCCAGAAACGCGAACGUUAGUCACAUUAACCAGGCGUAAGGGGUNCGUAGGCAGUUUAAAAGUUAAAUUUUUAUAUAGCUAUCNAANUAUAUAGAACAUNUGAGGAUAAGCCGAAUAAUGCUUAGAGUAGGGANUAAAUCCUUAGAUACUAGGUGGAANACUAAUGGUGAAAGCUUUUUAUCUAAUAAUGAUCGACNCUGAGGAACGAAGGUGAGAAUAGAAAAUAGGANUAGAGACCCAGAUAUCUCUCACUGUCAACGAUGAAUGGUGGAAUGUUAGUUUUAAUNACUAGUACCGAUGUUAACGCGAUAACCAUUCCGCCUUGAGAGUACGGUCGCAAGACUGAAACCCAAAAAAUUAAUCGGUCUCGAANCAAACGAA
This 509-nucleotide ribosomal RNA is filed under the name Lentinula boryana. Its description in RNAcentral is "partial small subunit ribosomal RNA". It matches the Rfam family "Bacterial small subunit ribosomal RNA", at positions 379 to 933 of the family's 1533-position model. The record is from RNAcentral. Lineage: Eukaryota; Fungi; Basidiomycota; Agaricomycetes; Agaricales; Omphalotaceae. RNAcentral also lists the same sequence under 1 other name.